GAGUAAUGUCUGGGAAACUGCCUGAUGGAGGGGGAUAACUACUGGAAACGGUAGCUAAUACCGCAUAACGUCGCAAGACCAAAGAGGGGGACCUUCGGGCCUCUUGCCAUCGGAUGUGCCCAGAUGGGAUUAGCUUGUUGGUGGGGUAACGGCUCACCAAGGCGACGAUCCCUAGCUGGUCUGAGAGGAUGACCAGCCACACUGGAACUGAGACACGGUCCAGACUCCUACGGGAGGCAGCAGUGGGGAAUAUUGCACAAUGGGCGCAAGCCUGAUGCAGCCAUGCCGCGUGUAUGAAGAAGGCCUUCGGGUUGUAAAGUACUUUCAGCGGGGAGGAAGGGAGUAAAGUUAAUACCUUU
RNAcentral lists this ribosomal RNA (359 nucleotides) under Escherichia coli. Its description in RNAcentral is "bacterial SSU rRNA". It matches the Rfam family "Bacterial small subunit ribosomal RNA", at positions 108 to 470 of the family's 1533-position model. Lineage: Bacteria; Pseudomonadati; Pseudomonadota; Gammaproteobacteria; Enterobacterales; Enterobacteriaceae. The record is from RNAcentral.